UGACUAGAUCCACACUCAUU
This 20-nucleotide non-coding RNA is filed under the name Drosophila ananassae. Lineage: Eukaryota; Metazoa; Arthropoda; Insecta; Diptera; Drosophilidae. The record is from RNAcentral. RNAcentral also lists the same sequence under 4 other names.